GAGCGAUUAAGGGAGAGAAUGAUCAAAGUGCGGGAGCUUUUUCGGGACAUUGAUUCAAUAGAAUUUGUUAUUGUAACAAUUCCCACGAGCAAGACAUCAACUGUUUGUGAGCUCAUUUUGUUCUCAGUACAAGGCUUGACAUUUGAAGUUGUCUUGUGAUUAUCAACUGAUCUAUUGGAUUGACUUUCUGUGGAGCACAUUUGAUGUUUGAAGUCGUCUUAUGAUUGUGGUAGUUCACGUCUUAUAAGAAAUAUACCCUUUUUUCAUAAUAA
This is a long non-coding RNA of Humulus lupulus (European hop), 272 nucleotides long. RefSeq lists it as uncharacterized. The record is from RefSeq and is a predicted model, not a curated record. Lineage: Eukaryota; Viridiplantae; Streptophyta; Magnoliopsida; Rosales; Cannabaceae. The transcript has 2 exons.